This 216-nucleotide ribosomal RNA is filed under the name Conticribra weissflogii. Its description in RNAcentral is "partial Eukaryotic large subunit ribosomal RNA". It matches the Rfam family "Eukaryotic large subunit ribosomal RNA", at positions 1905 to 2130 of the family's 3401-position model. Lineage: Eukaryota; Bacillariophyta; Thalassiosirophyceae; Thalassiosirales; Thalassiosiraceae. The record is from RNAcentral.
UAAGGGAAGUCGGCAAAAUAGAUCCGUAACUUCGGGAUAAGGAUUGGCUCUAAGGGUUGGGUGCAUCGGGCUAUUGUUGGAAGGGCUUGGACCCGGCGGAGACUGCUUUGGGCAACCGAGGUGGACUCUGCUAGGACUAGGCUUGGAAGACUUUAGCUGCUUUCGGGCGUCUGGUGUACAAUUAACAACCAACUUAGAACUGGUACGGACAAGGGG